RNAcentral lists this ribosomal RNA (206 nucleotides) under Nectria sp. (in: ascomycete fungi). Its description in RNAcentral is "Nectria sp. (in: Fungi) partial large subunit ribosomal RNA". The record is from RNAcentral. Lineage: Eukaryota; Fungi; Ascomycota; Sordariomycetes; Hypocreales; Nectriaceae.
AAGCGCUCAUGACCAGACUUGGGCAGGUUGAUCAUCCGUCGUUCUCGGCGGUGCACUCUGCCUGCCCAGGCCAGCAUCAGUUCGCGCCGGGGGAUAAAGGCUUCGGGAAUGUGGCUCCCUCGGGAGUGUUAUAGCCCGCUGCGCAAUACCCUGGGGCGGACUGAGGUUCGCGCAUUUAUGCAAGGAUGCUGGCGUAAUGGUCAUCA